UACGUAGGGGGCAAGCGUUGUCCGGAAUUAUUGGGCGUAAAGGGUGCGUAGGCGGCCUUUUAAGUCAGAUGUGAAAGCCCGGGGCUCAACCCCGGGACUGCAUUUGAAACUAUCAAACUGGAGUGCAGGAGAGGUAAGUGGAAUUCCUAGUGUAGCGGUGAAAUGCGUAGAUAUUAGGAGGAACACCAGUGGCGAAGGCGGCUUACUGGACUGUAACUGACGUUGAGGCUCGAAAGCGUGGGGAGCAAACAGGAUUAGAUACCCUGGUAGUCCCUGAGCGGG
This 282-nucleotide ribosomal RNA is filed under the name uncultured prokaryote. RNAcentral describes it as "partial 16S ribosomal RNA". It matches the Rfam family "Bacterial small subunit ribosomal RNA", at positions 524 to 803 of the family's 1533-position model. The record is from RNAcentral.